Molecule: ribosomal RNA, 433 nt
Filed under: uncultured bacterium
Lineage: Bacteria
Description: partial 16S ribosomal RNA
Rfam family: Bacterial small subunit ribosomal RNA
Source: RNAcentral
AACGAACGCUGGCGGCAUGCCUAACACAUGCAAGUCGAACGAGACCUUCGGGUCUAGUGGCGCACGGGUGCGUAACGCGUGGGAACCUGCCCUUAGGUUCGGAAUAACUCCCCGAAAGGGGUGCUAAUACCGGAUAAUGUCUUCGGACCAAAGAUUUAUCGCCUUUGGAUGGGCCCGCGUUGGAUUAGCUAGUUGGUAGGGUAAAAGCCUACCAAGGCGACGAUCCAUAGCUGGUCUGAGAGGAUGAUCAGCCACACUGGGACUGAGACACGGCCCAGACUGCUACGGGAGGCAGCAGUGGGGAAUAUUGGACAAUGGGCGAAAGCAUGAUCCAGCAAUGCCGCGUGAGUGAUGAAGGCCUUAGGGUUGUAAAGCUCUUUUACCCGGGAUGAUAAUGACAGUACCGGGAGAAUAAGCGACGGCUAACUCCGUG